GAUGAACGCUGGCGGCGUGCCUAAUACAUGCAAGUCGAGCGAGCAGACGAGGAGCUUGCUCCUCUGACGUUAGCGGCGGACGGGUGAGUAACACGUGGAUAACCUACCUAUAAGACUGGGAUAACUUCGGGAAACCGGAGCUAAUACCGGAUAAUAUAUUGAACCGCAUGGUUCAAUAGUGAAAGACGGUUUUGCUGUCACUUAUAGAUGGAUCCGCGCCGCAUUAGCUAGUUGGUAAGGUAACGGCUUACCAAGGCGACGAUGCGUAGCCGACCUGAGAGGGUGAUCGGCCACACUGGAACUGAGACACGGUCCAGACUCCUACGGGAGGCAGCAGUAGGGAAUCUUCCGCAAUGGGCGAAAGCCUGACGGAGCAACGCCGCGUGAGUGAUGAAGGUCUUCGGAUCGUAAAACUCUGUUAUUAGGGAAGAACAAAUGUGUAAGUAACUAUGCACGUCUUGACGGUACCUAAUCAGGAAGCCACGGCUAACUACGUG
This 497-nucleotide ribosomal RNA is filed under the name uncultured bacterium. RNAcentral describes it as "partial 16S ribosomal RNA". It matches the Rfam family "Bacterial small subunit ribosomal RNA", at positions 28 to 507 of the family's 1533-position model. The record is from RNAcentral.